GACGAACGCUGGCGGCGUGCUUAACACAUGCAAGUCGAACGGAAAGGCCCUGCUUUUGUGGGGUGCUCGAGUGGCGAACGGGUGAGUAACACGUGAGUAACCUGCCCUUGACUUUGGGAUAACUUCAGGAAACUGGGGCUAAUACCGGAUAGGAGCUCCUGCUGCAUGGUGGGGGUUGGAAAGUUUCGGCGGGUGGGGAUGGACUCGCGGCUUAUCAGCUUGUUGGUGGGGUAGUGGCUUACCAAGGCUUUGACGGGUAGCCGGCCUGGGAGGGUGACCGGCGACAUUGGGACUGCGAUACGGCCCAGACUCCUACGGUAGGCAGCAGUGGGGAAUAUUGCACAAUGGGCGGAAGCCUGAUGCAGCAACGCCGCGUGCGGGAUGACGGCCUUCGGGUUGUAAACCGCUUUCGCCUGUGACGAAGCGUGAGUGACGGUAAUGGGUAAAGAAGCACCGGCUAACUACGUG
RNAcentral lists this ribosomal RNA (468 nucleotides) under uncultured bacterium. RNAcentral's name for it is "partial 16S ribosomal RNA". It matches the Rfam family "Bacterial small subunit ribosomal RNA", at positions 28 to 507 of the family's 1533-position model. The record is from RNAcentral.